Salvelinus sp. IW2-2015 is the source of this 392-nucleotide non-coding RNA. Lineage: Eukaryota; Metazoa; Chordata; Actinopteri; Salmoniformes; Salmonidae. The record is from RefSeq and is a predicted model, not a curated record.
UCUAGGUGAUGCGGGUAAGGCGUAGUCAGGCGCAGGACACAGAGAUGAGUAAUAACCGUAACUUUACUCAAAAACAAUAURCCAUGAAUAAUCCAGGUCACAAAACGAGACAACUUGACAAGAACAAACACGCACAAAACCAAGGGGGAAACCAGAGGGUUAAAUAGGGAACAAUGGUUAUGGAAUGUAAACCAGGUGUGUACAAUGAAGACAAAACAAAUCAAAAAUGAAACGUGGAUCYGUGGUGACUAGAAAACCUGUGACGCCGAACGCCGCCCGAACAAGGAGAGGGACCAACUUCGGCGGAAAUCGUGACACCCUGACAGGUGGGGCUUCCAGAAGCUUUAAAUUGAGGGCCAGGUUGUCAGGAUGGGUAAUGUACUAUAUAAGUA